AGAGUUUGAUCCUGGCUCAGAACGAACGCUGGCGGCGUGCUUAACACAUGCAAGUCGAGUGCGCGCCUGUAGCAAUACAGGUGGCGCACGGCGCACGGGUGCGUAACACGUGGGUAAUCUGCCCUCUGAUGGGGAAUAACUCGCCGAAAGGCGAGCUAAUUCCGCAUAAUAUUCCGAGAACCUCGGUUUUUGGACUGAAAGGCGUAAGUCGUCGGAGGAGGAGCCCGCGCACGAUUAGCUAGUUGGUAGGGUAAUGGCCUACCAAGGCUUUGAUCGUUAGCUGGUCUGAGAGGAUGGCCAGCCACACUGGAACUGAGACACGGUCCAGACUCCUACGGGAGGCAGCAGUGGGGAAUCUUGCACAAUGGGCGAAAGCCUGAUGCAGCGACGCCGCGUGGGGGAUGAAGCUUCUCGGAGUGUAAACCCCUUUCGAUCCGGACGAAUGCCCGCAAGGGAUUGACGGUACGGAUAUAAGAAGCCCCGGCUAACUACGUGCCAGCAGCCGCGGUAAUACGUAGGGGGCCAGCGUUGUUCGGAAUUACUGGGUGUAAAGGGUUCGUAGGCGGUGCGGCAAGUUGGGAGUGAAAUCUCUGGGCUCAACCCAGAGACGGCUUCCAAAACUGCCGUGCUUGAGUGUGAGAGAGGCUCGUGGAAUUGCAGGUGUAGCGGUGAAAUGCGUAGAUAUCUGCAGGAACACCCGUGGCGAAAGCGGCGAGCUGGAUCACUACUGACGCUGAAGAACGAAAGCUAGGGGAGCAAACAGGAUUAGAUACCCCCGUAGUCC
Molecule: ribosomal RNA, 784 nt
Filed under: uncultured bacterium
Lineage: Bacteria
Description: bacterial SSU rRNA
Rfam family: Bacterial small subunit ribosomal RNA
Source: RNAcentral